Molecule: non-coding RNA, 76 nt
Organism: Podarcis lilfordi (Lilford's wall lizard)
Lineage: Eukaryota; Metazoa; Chordata; Lepidosauria; Squamata; Lacertidae
Source: the annotation of a GenBank genome assembly
GUCUUGGGAUAGCUCAGCUGGUCAGAGCAUGGUACUGGUGACACCAUGGUUACAGGUUCAGUUCCUGUAAGGGACA